This is a long non-coding RNA of Spinacia oleracea (spinach), 715 nucleotides long. RefSeq lists it as uncharacterized. Lineage: Eukaryota; Viridiplantae; Streptophyta; Magnoliopsida; Caryophyllales; Amaranthaceae. The record is from RefSeq and is a predicted model, not a curated record. The transcript is spliced from 2 exons.
UAUAUAUUUGAUGUAGCGUGAAAUACAAGUUAUCCUAUCAUUUUGCUAUAUAUAAAAUGCUCUAAACUUUGAGUAUACAUGUAUUCUAGCAAAACUAAAAAAAAUCCACCUUUUUAAUUGCAUCAAAUUAAAGCUUUGCAAAAUGGCAAUCCAAUCCACAAACAAUAUCCAAAAAUGGGUCACUCUUAUGAUCAUUUGUGUAGUGGUUUUAUCCACCACCAUACCAUCAGAAGCACGAAGUUAUAAACCAGCCCGUCGUCCUCCUCCUCCUCCUCCAAGGCCUAAUGUAUGCCCACUUUGUGUGUGCUGCAACCCUGCACCCCCUGGUGUUUGCUGCGGUUGCUGUCGUGUUGAAGACUCGUCACCUCCCCCUCCAUUUGUGAUCACACCCUAAACAAAUAUCAUCAUCCCAGAAGCUCAGCAUAAAUUAUUUUGGUAUAUUUUCGUUAAUGUUGAAUAUGUGCAUAUACGAUAUGUGUAUGUGUGCGCGCAUACCUACGUGUUCCUAAUUGUUGUAAUAAAUGUAAUAUAUGAAAAUCAACAUCUAUACUACGGGCAUGUUUGGCCAAACUUCUCGAUACAAUUUCUAUUUCAUAGAAGUAGUUUUUGAGAAGCUACUUCUGUAGAAAUACUUGUGAGAAAUAGAAAUGUUUGGCCAACCAAAUUCAGGAGUACAUUUGAGAAAUAUAAACAAGUUUACAAGUUUGCCCCAUUA